CAAAUGAUCACUGACACAUUCCUGAUCAAUACUCUGAUAAAGUGAUUGAUCCAUUGAUAACCUGCAUCAUCAGAUUGAUCCAAGUCCCUGUUGGAGUCAGUCAGAGUAUUUCCAUAGAGAGACACUUUGCAUCAGCAGCACCAUCCUCCAGUGCUCUGGGAGACUUUAUAGUCCUGACACUUGAACACUGGAUGACUGACAGCUGUCCUCCAUGACAACAGAAGACACAGAAAUCCUCCUCAUCACAAACAUGACUUUCAUCUUCAUCUGGACUCUCCUCUGCUGCUGCUUCACAGAGUCCAGAGGUCAGAUCACAGUGACUCAGCCUGGAUCAGUGACUUCUGCUCUGGGAGACUCCGUCACCAUCAGAUGUUCAGUCAAUCCAAAGGUAACUGUUGGAAGUUCAAGUGGAAAAGAUCUUUUAUCCUGGUACCAACAGAGAGAUGGAAAAACUCCCAAACUGCUCAUCUACAGAGUUAAUGAACGACAAUCUGGGAUUCCAGAUCGUUUUUCAGGCAGUGGAUCACAGACAGACUUCACUCUGACCAUCAGUGGAGUUCAGGCUGAAGAUGCUGCAGUUUAUUACUGUCAGAGUUAUCACUACAUCAACAGUCAGCGUGUGUUCACACAGUGA
Molecule: non-coding RNA, 634 nt
Organism: Amphiprion ocellaris (clown anemonefish)
Lineage: Eukaryota; Metazoa; Chordata; Actinopteri; Pomacentridae
Source: the annotation of a RefSeq genome assembly